UACAGAGGGGGCAAGCGUUGUUCGGAAUUACUGGGCGUAAAGGGCGCGUAGGCGGCCCGCUAAGUCGAACGUGAAAUCCCCGAGCUCAACUCGGGAACUGCGUCCGAUACUGGCGGGCUUGAAUCCGGGAGAGGGAUGCGGAAUUCCAGGUGUAGCGGUGAAAUGCGUAGAUAUCUGGAGGAACACCGGUGGCGAAGGCGGCAUCCUGGACCGGCAUUGACGCUGAGGCGCGAAAGCUAGGGGAGCAAACGGG
RNAcentral lists this ribosomal RNA (253 nucleotides) under uncultured bacterium. RNAcentral's name for it is "partial 16S ribosomal RNA". It matches the Rfam family "Bacterial small subunit ribosomal RNA", at positions 524 to 776 of the family's 1533-position model. The record is from RNAcentral.